AUUUUCAACAUAUAUUUUUUCACUUUGCGACAAAAGAAGACCCGCGAUACGUCUUUGUUUAUUAAAAAAAUCACGACAAGGAUACAACAAGUUUGUGUACAGAGUAAAUAUAUAAUAUAUGCGAUUGUGUGUGUUACAGUUUUAAACAAAGUUUAAAAUAACAGGCACAAUUUUUUGUUUUUUUUAAUUAACAGGUGGAUCUAGACAAUGAUAUCGUAAUUACAAAAGUAUUCGAAGCUCCAAUUUGAUGUGUUCGGAAUUACAAUUACGGUCGGUUAAAUGCGAAGAAGUAGCGAGAGCGUGGAUCAUUUUGCGAAAAAAAUACAUAGCUCGUACACAAAAACUCGAUUGUUUUCAAACAGCGAUUCUAGGGAUAUUCAUUGGGAGAAAUAUGGAAAGUUGGUAAUUCGACAUAAUUCAAACCUGAUUCUGCGCGUUCUUCAUGUCAUAUCGUUAAUACACGCCUCGGUCAAGAGUUGAGACGCACAGUUUUGCGUACCCGAUCCCGCACAAUUGUUAAACGUUUUUUUGACGCAAGUAACAAUUUCUGAUCCUCGACAUUGUCGUGUUGUUCGUCGUACAAGCUCUCGUCGACACAAAUGAGAGAUGAAUCGAUUCCCCAUGAGAGAUGGUACAUUUUGCGAGACGAGAAAGAAAAGUUAUACAGAGAGACACAGGUAUAUCGAUAGAUUUUUAAUUCGGAUUUUUUUAUUUUAGUUCUUAACGUCUUUGUUAUCGUCCAGAUUAUAUAUAUAUAUAUAUAAUAUAUUUACUUAACACGCGAAAAUGGAACUUCUAAAGAGCGAUGUGUAUAGUUCAUUUACUUUGUCGUUUAUUAAUGUAACAACGCGGCGAUGUGCACCCACAAACAUACGAAACACUGAUAAUAUAUUGACAAAAACACUGAUAUUUUUUAAACGAUUGGAAAAUAUAUAUAUCUGCAUAUCAAUUUGGUUUGUUCUUUUUGGCCGAAUUGGUCACACCGGUUCAGAAGUUUGGUCUUUUUUCUUUUUCCAUAAAAGAGUAAAGAAAAAGAUCAACUCCGAACUGGAUCACAGCUAGUUCGGUAAAAAAGAACAAACCGCGUGUGAGAGCGGAGAUUAAGGCCGGUAUUCAUGGUCGAAUCUUAUAUUUAGGAUCGUCUUAAGUCUAUCUUCAAAUGCUCUGCGGCCAAUAAAAUUACUCGCACAUGAUCUGAAGAUAAACUUAAGACGGAUCUUAAAUACAAGAUCCGACCGACUAUGAAAUACCGGCCUAAAAGUUUCGUAUUCGCGCGCGUACGAGUGCGCCAUCUGUUUCCUCUAUUCCUACUUGUGUGUGUUCCUCGCUAACUUCAGUUAACAUUUAUCUUGUAACAUCUAACUGUGUGCACGCAAAUUGCAUUAUUUAAGUGUAAACAUUUGAACGAAGUGUACAUACAUUUGUAUCUGAAACAUCGUAAGUGCGAAAAUUGUGCAACUGGAUACAAAUUAAUCGAUGAGACACAUUUGCCGGACGAUAAGCAAGGCGUUAGAAGAGACAUCAUUACCCGGCCGUUCCGCUUGUUUGUAAAGAUUAAGCUUGAGGAAAUUAGAAGGAGAACGUACACAUAUCGUUAGAGAUUUCGAAAGGAAGAGGAGGAGGAGGAGGAGGAGGAGGAG
This is a long non-coding RNA of Pseudomyrmex gracilis, 1640 nucleotides long. RefSeq lists it as uncharacterized. The record is from RefSeq and is a predicted model, not a curated record. NCBI's taxonomy places the organism in Eukaryota, Metazoa, Arthropoda, Insecta, Hymenoptera, Formicidae. The transcript has 2 exons.